This 411-nucleotide ribosomal RNA is filed under the name Verrucomicrobiota bacterium. RNAcentral describes it as "Verrucomicrobia bacterium partial 16S ribosomal RNA". It matches the Rfam family "Bacterial small subunit ribosomal RNA", at positions 355 to 776 of the family's 1533-position model. The record is from RNAcentral. Lineage: Bacteria; Pseudomonadati; Verrucomicrobiota.
UGGGGAAUAUUGCACAAUGGGCGGAAGCCUGAUGCAGCGACGCCGCGUGGGGGAUGACGGCCUUCGGGUUGUAAACUCCUUUCGACAGGGACGAAGCUUUUUGUGACGGUACCUGUAUAAGAAGCACCGGCUAACUACGUGCCAGCAGCCGCGGUAAUACGUAGGGUGCGAGCGUUGUCCGGAAUUACUGGGCGUAAAGAGCUCGUAGGUGGUUUGUCGCGUCGUCUGUGAAAUUCCGGGGCUUAACUCCGGGCGUGCAGGCGAUACGGGCAUACCUUGAGUGCUGUAGGGGAGACUGGAAUUCCUGGUGUAGCGGUGAAAUGCGCAGCUAUCAGGAGGAACACCGAUGGCGAAGGCAGGUCUCUGGGCAGUAACUGACGCUGAGGAGCGAAAGCAUGGGUAGCGAACAGG